UUAGAAUAAACAUUACAUUUUCACUGUAAAGACAAAGAAGCUCUUUUAUA
RNAcentral lists this transfer RNA (50 nucleotides) under Coarctotermes sp. E MLW-2023a. Its description in RNAcentral is "tRNA-Glu". The record is from RNAcentral. Lineage: Eukaryota; Metazoa; Arthropoda; Insecta; Blattodea; Termitidae.